AAAACAAAAACUUCGAUUGAUGUAUAUCCAUAAUUUGCAAUGAAGAAAAAAAAUCUCUUCCUCUCAAAAAUUUUUGGUCUAGUUAUGCUAAAACGAAAAUAAAUUAGACUUCACUAUCUUGAUUCAGAAGAAGGAAGAUGAGUCUCCUUUGCCUAUUAACAAUGCCUUCGACAGGAGAUGAAGUGGAAUCUUUCUUCAAUCUGGAGUCUCUAAUUUCAUCAAAGGAAAGGCGCCAAUAUUUGUAAGUAGACAAAUUAUCUUGGAAGAUGCUAUUAAAAUUGGUUAUGGGAUGGGCAGAACACGUGAUACUAAGUCUACUUAUGACGUGUCCCUUGUCAGGUAUUGUGCACAUAGUUGAGGGCCUUAUAUUUGCUAUCAUCUGUUAUUAUUGUAUCUCAUAGCAUGAGUUAUUUCAUCUCCAGUGCUGUAGAUGGUCCAGAUAUAUUGUCUUGCAUACUUACACACAUAUGAAAAGAAGGCCAUUUAU
This is a long non-coding RNA of Quercus lobata, 487 nucleotides long. RefSeq lists it as uncharacterized. Lineage: Eukaryota; Viridiplantae; Streptophyta; Magnoliopsida; Fagales; Fagaceae. The record is from RefSeq and is a predicted model, not a curated record. The transcript has 3 exons.